This 468-nucleotide ribosomal RNA is filed under the name uncultured bacterium. RNAcentral's name for it is "partial 16S ribosomal RNA". It matches the Rfam family "Bacterial small subunit ribosomal RNA", at positions 28 to 507 of the family's 1533-position model. The record is from RNAcentral.
GACGAACGCUGGCGGCGUGCUUAACACAUGCAAGUCGAACGGAAAGGCCCUGCUUUUGUGGGGUGCUCGAGUGGCGAACGGGUGAGUAACACGUGAGUAACCUGCCCUUGACUUUGGGAUAACUUCAGGAAACUGGGGCUAAAACCGGAUAGGAGCUCCUGCUGCAUGGUGGGGGUUGGAAAGUUUCGGCGGUUGGGGAUGGACUCGCGGCUUAUCAGCUUGUUGGUGGGGUAGUGGCUUACCAAGGCUUUGACGGGUAGCCGGCCUGAGAGGGUGACCGGCCACAUUGGGACUGAGAUACGGCCCAGACGCCUACGGGAGGCAGCAGUGGGGAAUAUUGCACAAUGGGCGGAAGCCUGAUGCAGCAACGCCGCGUGCGGGAUGACGGCCUUCGGGUUGUAAACCGAUUUCGCCGGUGACGAAGAGUGAGUGACGGUAAUGGGUAAAGAAGCACCGGCUAACUACGUG